GACGAACGCUGGCGGCGUGCUUAACACAUGCAAGUCGAACGAAGAGCGACGGAAGCUUGCUUCUAUCAAUCUUAGUGGCGAACGGGUGAGUAACGCGUAAUCAACCUGCCCUUCAGAGGGGGACAACAGUUGGAAACGACUGCUAAUACCGCAUACGAUCUAAUCUCGGCAUCGAGGAUAGAUGAAAGGUGGCCUCUACAUGUAAGCUAUCACUGAAGGAGGGGAUUGCGUCUGAUUAGCUAGUUGGAGGGGUAACGGCCCACCAAGGCGAUGAUCAGUAGCCGGUCUGAGAGGAUGAACGGCCACAUUGGGACUGAGACACGGCCCAGACUCCUACGGGAGGCAGCAGUGGGGAAUCUUCCGCAAUGGACGAAAGUCUGACGGAGCAACGCCGCGUGAGUGAUGACGGCCUUCGGGUUGUAAAGCUCUGUUAAUCGGGACGAAAGGCCUUCUUGCGAAUAGUGAGAAGGAUUGACGGUACCGGAAUA
Molecule: ribosomal RNA, 488 nt
Filed under: Veillonella parvula
Lineage: Bacteria; Bacillati; Bacillota; Negativicutes; Veillonellales; Veillonellaceae
Description: bacterial SSU rRNA
Rfam family: Bacterial small subunit ribosomal RNA
Source: RNAcentral